CGCAAGCCUGAUCCAGCAAUGCCGCGUGGAGGACGAAGGUCUUCGGAUCGUAAACUCCUGUCAGGCGGGACGAAGGCUUCCGGGCAAAUAGUCCGGAAGCUUGACGGUACUGCCAGAGGAAGCCCCGGCUAACUCCGUGCCAGCAGCCGCGGUAAUACGGAGGGGGCUAGCGUUAUUCGGAAUUAUUGGGCGUAAAGGGCGCGUAGGCGGCCCGGUAAGUCAAAGGUGAAAUCCCUCGGCUCAACUGAGGAACUGCCUUUGAAACUGUCGGGCUCGAGGCCGGGAGGGGGUAGCGGAAUUCCCAGUGUAGCGGUGAAAUGCGUAGAUAUUGGGGGGAACACCGGUGGCGAAGGCGGCUACCUGGACCGGUUCUGACGCUGAUGCGCGAAAGCGUGGGUAGCAAACAGGAUUAGAUACCCUGGUAGUCCACGCUGUAAACGAUGAGUGCUCGGUGUCGCGGGUAUCGACCCCUGCGGUGCCUUAGCUAACGCGUUAAGCACUCCGCCUGGGGAGUACGGUCGCAAGGCUG
This 529-nucleotide ribosomal RNA is filed under the name uncultured Acidobacteriota bacterium. RNAcentral's name for it is "bacterial SSU rRNA". It matches the Rfam family "Bacterial small subunit ribosomal RNA", at positions 376 to 896 of the family's 1533-position model. The record is from RNAcentral. Lineage: Bacteria; Pseudomonadati; Acidobacteriota.